This 252-nucleotide ribosomal RNA is filed under the name uncultured bacterium. RNAcentral's name for it is "partial 16S ribosomal RNA". It matches the Rfam family "Bacterial small subunit ribosomal RNA", at positions 524 to 776 of the family's 1533-position model. The record is from RNAcentral.
GACAGAGGUGCCGAGCGUUAGGCGGAAUCACUGGGCUUAAAGCGUGUGUAGGCGGGUCGUUAAGUGUCUUGUGAAAUCCCACCGCUCAACGGUGGAACUGCUGGGCAUACUGGCGAUCUUGAGCCACCUAGGGGCAGACGGAACAAGCGGUGGAGCGGUGAAAUGCGUAGAUAUCGCUUGGAACGCCGACGGUGAAAACAGUCUGCUGGGGUGUGCUGACGCUGAGACACGAAAGCCAGGGGAGCGAACGGG